CAGUCGCCGCGGGAAUACGGAGGGUGCAAGCGUUAAUCGGAAUUACUGGGCGUAAAGCGCACGCAGGCGGUCUGUCAAGUCAGAUGUGAAAUCCCCGGGCUUAACCUGGGAACUGCAUUUGAAACUGGCGAGCUAGAGUAUGGUAGAGGGUGGUGGAAUUUCCUGUGUAGCGGUGGAAUGCGUAGAUAUAGGAAGGAACAUCAGUGGCGAAGGCGACCACCUGGACUGAUACUGACACUGAGGUGCGAAAGCGUGGGGAGCAAACAGGAUUAGAUACCCCAGUAGUCCCUGUCUCUUAUAU
This 301-nucleotide ribosomal RNA is filed under the name uncultured bacterium. RNAcentral describes it as "partial 16S ribosomal RNA". It matches the Rfam family "Bacterial small subunit ribosomal RNA", at positions 509 to 809 of the family's 1533-position model. The record is from RNAcentral.